This 628-nucleotide long non-coding RNA is filed under the name Zea mays. RNAcentral describes it as "drought-responsive long non-coding RNA". The record is from RNAcentral. Lineage: Eukaryota; Viridiplantae; Streptophyta; Magnoliopsida; Poales; Poaceae.
CCCGAAUUCGGGCACGGAACACAUCCAUCCCUCGCUCUCUCUCGCGCGCGCGCUCGUGCUCCUUCGUGCUGCUCGCCCCGCCCCCGCCGCCCUGCCCUCCCCACCGUCGUCACCGGCGUGGGGGGAACGACAUGACUACUUCCAGGCGCCUUGCGGACAGGAAGACAGCCAAGUUCCAGAAGAACAUCACGAGGCGGGGUUCCGUGCCGGAAACCGCCGUCAAGAAGGGGAAGGGGAACGGCUACGCUGCCGGCCCCGUAGUGCUCGGCUUCUUCGUCUUCGUCGUCAUUGGGUCAUCGUUGUUCCAGAUCAUCAGGACCGCGACCAGUGGCGGCAUGGCUUGAGAACCCGUCCCCGGUGCAGAGCAGAGAGAUCUGUUUGUCGUUUGUACAUGCAUGCGUCCAGCUAGAAUCGAGUUUAAUUUCGAACUGAACCGUAAUGCAGAACCAUGUAUGUAAAUAAAGUGCUAUUAAAUGGGUAACUGGAUAUAGUGCUAUAUAUAUACAGUGUUGGAAUACAAAUACCUUUUUUUCCCCUUACGCGCGGCCUGUACGUGUGCCAGUUUUGCUCGACUGUGUUUGGCUUGUGAUGACGACGACGGCUGAAGUUUCAUAUGGGAUUUGAGUCG